RNAcentral lists this ribosomal RNA (525 nucleotides) under uncultured bacterium. RNAcentral describes it as "bacterial SSU rRNA". It matches the Rfam family "Bacterial small subunit ribosomal RNA", at positions 984 to 1509 of the family's 1533-position model. The record is from RNAcentral.
ACAUCCAGAGAACUUAGCAGAGAUGCUUUGGUGCCUUCGGGAACUCUGAGACAGGUGCUGCAUGGCUGUCGUCAGCUCGUGUUGUGAAAUGUUGGGUUAAGUCCCGCAACGAGCGCAACCCUUAUCCUUUGUUGCCAGCGGUUCGGCCGGGAACUCAAAGGAGACUGCCGGUGAUAAACCGGAGGAAGGUGGGGAUGACGUCAAGUCAUCAUGGCCCUUACGGCCAGGGCUACACACGUGCUACAAUGGCGCAUACAAAGAGAAGCGACCUCGCGAGAGCAAGCGGACCUCAUAAAGUGCGUCGUAGUCCGGAUUGGAGUCUGCAACUCGACUCCAUGAAGUCGGAAUCGCUAGUAAUCGUAGAUCAGAAUGCUACGGUGAAUACGUUCCCGGGCCUUGUACACACCGCCCGUCACACCAUGGGAGUGGGUUGCAAAAGAAGUAGGUAGCUUAACCUUCGGGAGGGCGCUUACCACUUUGUGAUUCAUGACUGGGGUGAAGUCGUAACAAGGUAGGCGUAGCGAG